This 315-nucleotide ribosomal RNA is filed under the name uncultured Lactobacillus sp. RNAcentral describes it as "bacterial SSU rRNA". It matches the Rfam family "Bacterial small subunit ribosomal RNA", at positions 350 to 657 of the family's 1533-position model. The record is from RNAcentral. Lineage: Bacteria; Bacillati; Bacillota; Bacilli; Lactobacillales; Lactobacillaceae.
AGCAGUAGGGAAUCUUCCACAAUGGACGAAAGUCUGAUGGAGCAAUGCCGCGUGAGUGAAGAAGGGUUUCGGCUCGUAAAACUCUGUUGUUAAAGAAGAACACCUUUGAGAGUAACUGUUCAAGGGUUGACGGUAUUUAACCAGAAAGCCACGGCUAACUACGUGCCAGCAGCCGCGGUAAUACGUAGGUGGCAAGCGUUGUCCGGAUUUAUUGGGCGUAAAGCGAGCGCAGGCGGUUUUUUAAGUCUGAUGUGAAAGCCUUCGGCUUAACCGGAGAAGUGCAUCGGAAACUGGGAGACUUGAGUGCAGAAGAGG